Molecule: long non-coding RNA, 3047 nt
Filed under: Sus scrofa (pig)
Lineage: Eukaryota; Metazoa; Chordata; Mammalia; Artiodactyla; Suidae
Description: lncRNA (ENSSSCG00040020076.1, ENSSSCG00180044139.1)
Source: RNAcentral
UUUUUUUUUUUUUUUUGCUUUUUAGGGCUGCACCUGUGGCAUAUGGAAGUUUCCAGGCUAGAGGUCAAAUCGGAGCUGCAGCUGCCUGCCUACACAGCAAUGCUGGAUCCUAGUCACGUCUAUGACCUACAUCAUAGCUCGUGGCAACGCCAGAUCCUUUAACCCACUCAACGAGGCCAGGGAUCAAACACGCAUCCUCAUGGAUGCUGGUCAGGUUCAUGACCUGCUGAGCCACAACAGGAGCUCCUGUGCAGUUACUUUAAAAGGAAAUUCUUUCUAAUUAGGAUAUUAAAAGAUAUUUAACGUCCUUAGCCAUCAGAGAAGAGCAAAUCAAAACCACAAUAACAAGGAGUUCCCGUCGUGGCGCAGUGGUUAACAAAUCCGACUAGGAACUAUGAGGUUGCGGGUUCGGUCCCUGCCCUUGCUCAGUGGGUUAACGAUCCGGCGUUGCCGUGAGCUGUGGUGUAGGUUGCAGACGCGGCUCGGAUCCCACGUUGCUGUGGCUCUGGUGUAGGCCAGUGGCUACAGCUCCGAUUCAGCCCCUAGCCUGGGAACCUCCAUAUGCCGCCGAAGCGGCCCAAGAAAUAGCAACAACAACAACAACAAAAAAGAGAGACAAAAGACAAAAAAAAAAAAAACCACAAUAACAAGAUACUAUUUCACACCCAUAAGGAUGCAGUAAUCAAGAAGAAAGAUAAUAAAGUGUUGGUGAGGACACGGAGAAAUUGGAAACAUCAUGCACUGCUGGUGGGAAAGAAAAAUGGCACAGCUGCUUUGGAAAAUAGUCUGCCAUUUCCUCAACUGGUUAAAAAUAAAACCAACUUACAACCCAACAAUUCUACUCCUACGUAUAUACCCAAGAUAACUGAGACCACCUGUCUACACAAGAACUUGUACGUGAAUGUGCAUGGCAGCAUUAUUCAUCAUAGCCACAAAGUGGAAACUCAAAUACCCGUCAACUGGGUAAAUAAAAUGUGAUACGUCCUUGCAAUGCACUAUUACUCAUCAAUUAAAAGGAAUAAAAGACUGCCACACACUGCAACAUGGAUGAACCUUGAAAAAACUACUAAGUGAAAGAAGCCAGAACCUGCUGCAUAGCACAGGGAACUAAGUUCAGUCACUUGAGAUGGAACAUGACGGAGGAUAAUGUGAGAAAAAGAAUACAUAUGUAUGGCUGGAUCACUUUGCUGUAUAAUAGAAACUGACAGAACACUUUAAAUCAACUAUAAUGGAAAAAAUAAAAAUCAUAAAAAAGAAAGAAGCCAGACACAAAAGGCCACAUAUUGUAUGAUUUCCUCUAUAGGAAAUGCCCAGUGGAGGCAAAUCUAUAGAGAGAGAAUGCAAAUUAGCAGUUGCCAAGGGGUUGGAGUCAGGGGCAGAGCAUAAGAGGAUUUGGGGAUUGAUGCUUAAGGAGUAAGGAAACUUUUCUAAAAUUGUAGGAUAAAGAAAAUUUUCCACAGUUGUGGUGAUGGAUGCACAACUCUAUAAAUAACUAAAAGCCACUGAAAUGUGCACUUUAAAUGAGUGACUUGUCGGGUAUGGGGAUUACAUCUCAAUAAAGUGUUUCUCUGGGUUUUUCUUUAGGGGCGCACCUGUGGCAUAUGGAGCGGCUCAAGAAAAAAAAAUAAAUAAAUAAAAAUAAAGAGGGGAACUGGAUGGCUGAGAGAUGCAGAGUAGGAGAGAGACCUGGUUUCUAACUUAAAUUUUAUGGAUGCACCCAAUUCCCAGGCCAGGGAUUGAAUCUGAGCCACAGCUACAAUCUAUGCCGCAGCUCUGGCAAUGCCAGAUCCUUUAACCCACUGCGCUGGGCAGGGGAUCAGACUUGCACCUCUGCAGCAACCUGAGCUGCUUCAGUUGAAUUCUUUAUUUUUUAUUUUUUUGUCUUUUUGCCUUUUCUAGGGCCGCUCCUGCGGUGUAUGGAGGUUCCCAGGCCAUAAAAAGCAAAAAAAAAAAAAAAAAAGUUGAACACAACACCUAUGCGCCCACCACCCAGCAUAAAAACCACUACCACACUGCUGCAUGCCCACAUGUGCCUCGCCAGUCACAUCACUCCACCCUGAAGGGAUCCGCUUACUUACAUUUGGAUCUUAUCGUGCCCACGUCUUUCAUACAUUUACUACACUCCAAAUAUCUAUAAUCAAUAUGCAUUAUUCUGCACGCUUUUUGUUUUGGCCACACCAGUGGCAAGUGGAAGUUCCCAGGCCAGGGAGUGAUCCUACACCCCAGCAGUGGCAAUGCCAGACCCUUAACCCACUGAACCACAAGAGAGCUCCUAUUUGACAUCUUUAAAACUACAUUCUUCUGCAGUUUGCUUUUAUCACUCCACGUUUUGCUUUAUUCAUGUCGAUAGGUGCAACUUUAGUUCAUUUUCAAUGAAGUAUAAUAGUCCACAUCAAAUAUAAAAUACAUCCAAUACUGAUGUAUAAUUUUCCAAGAUGGCCACACGGUGAUCUCUCACCCCUUAUGCUCUUCUUACAAUGAGACACUGCCAUUCCUGUCAUUGAGAAGGAGGGCCCCUCCUCUUGAAUCUGGGUGGGCUAGCAACAGUGGCAGAAAUGAAGCAAUGUGACUUCCCAUGCUAGGUUAGAAAAGGUGAGAGUUUUCCCCGGCUUUCUCGAGAAGCUUGCUCUUGGAACCCAGCUGCCAUGUUGCAAGGAAGCCCAGGCAAAAUGAAGAAGCCACAAGUAGGCAUUCUGGCUGCCAGCCCAAGCUGAGGUUUCAUCCAAGUGCCCGUACCAGUUAGCCACCAGACACCCGAGGAGGUUUCCACGAGGACACCAGCCCUGGCCAAGAUCUUAUAGCAAGCACAUGAGAGCCCCCGAGGUACAACCCAGGUCUAACUGAGCACAGUCAACUCCCAGAACCAUGAGAGAUAAUGAUUAUUGAUUUAAGCCACCAAGUUUCAAGGUAAUUCAUUAUUAUGCAUUAAAUAAUCAGAACAUCUAUGCCAUAAUCUCUCCAUUCUUCAACUGGUGCAUGUUUGGGUUGUCUCCAAGUUUAUGCUGUUGCAACAGUGAUCCUGUGAACAUUCUUAUGCACGUGCCAUG